RNAcentral lists this long non-coding RNA (2802 nucleotides) under Trifolium pratense (red clover). Its description in RNAcentral is "long non-coding RNA (TPRA_LNC010024)". Lineage: Eukaryota; Viridiplantae; Streptophyta; Magnoliopsida; Fabales; Fabaceae. The record is from RNAcentral.
UUGUUUUAUCUGUUUUGUUUGGAAUCAAUUUCAAAAUUCAAAAUUCAGUUUCUCCCUCUCUUUUUCAAUAUGUAAACUCAUUUUCUUACUCAUCUCUCUUCAUUUUCUCUUGAUUCCUUCGAACUUCUCUCUCUCCAGGAAUCAACCAUCUUGGAUGACACAAGCCACAAUCUCCAAAGGUUUCAAAUUGCUUCUCCAUCUGUUGUUUUAUGAUUUAAUUUCAUCAUCUGAUUUUUAUGUGACAUGUUUAAUUUUUUGUCAAUGUUUGCAAAUUAGGUUUUCUUCUCAAUCUUCUCAAUCGAAUCCUCCAACCUGUUUCAUGAUCCAUCCCGUAGGUAAUUUCAGUUUGUUCUUUUCCAAAUCCCUAAUUUUCUUCAGUUGCAUUUCUAAUCACUUUCUGUUUCGUUUUUUCUUUUCAUUCUCUCAUUGGAGGUAAAAUUUUCAUACCUAAUUGAAGGAAUCACGCUCUCGCAUGACACAAUCAGGUGAGAGAGAUCCAAAAUAUUUUCACUUUCUUGCUUUUAUCCUCUCAUGAUUUCUGGUUUUUUCUCGCCUCAUAUAUUGUUCUCUUUCUCUCUGUUUUUAUCUUUCACAACAGGAAAUAAUGGUAGAAAGUUGGUAUGAGAGGUGAAAAAUUCUUGACUACAUAUACUUAAGGUAAACAUGUUUUUGGUGAAUAUAUGUUUGGUCUCCACUUUUAGCUCUGGUUCUGAAUAUACUAAUUGAACUUUUACUGUCUAUAUUUAUUAUUUUAAUUUUGAUUGUAACUGAUAUGUUGCUUUGUAGUUUAUCAAUUGGUAGAGUUUAUCAAUUGGUUUUGCUACACCAAUAACUAUUGUUAUACAUGAAUAAGUGAAGAGGAUUGGUUGCAUCCUCCAAAAAAAUAGGUUUUGAUAUUUUAUUGAUUACAAAUUAGUAGAUCUAAUGUUUAUUUGUUUAUCUUUUUGAUUAGUUUAUAUGUAUUGAGCACACUAUUAUUUAAUUGUGAGAUGCUAAUUUGAAUAGUUUGGGAUCAAAGACUACUUUCUUUUUUUUGUUUUGGUAAAUUAGUUUGGAUUAUUGGAGAAACCAGUUCCUAUUUUUCCUCAAGUUACCCACGUUGAUAGCAACCUCUUUUUAGAUUGAUUUCAAGUUAUUAACUAAUAUAAAAUAUCCUAUCAAUUGGUGUUUACUUCUUUUUAGUUACUAUUUUUUGUAUUUAUUCUUUUUAUAUCGAUUUUGGAAAAGAGGUUUUUGAAAAGAUUGUUGAUGACAGGGAUAUGACAAAGAUUGUUACCAUUAUUGCAUUCUCUUUGAUGAAAGNNNNAUUUCAAUUCUUGAAUUGGCUUUAAGUUUGUAAUUGUUUUGUCUAUUUUUUCUUUGAAAUCAGAAAUUAUUUACUCUAGCCAAUGUGGGUGACUAUGAGUUUGUCUAUUGAAAGAAUCUAAACAAUAUGUAGCUACUAAUUUGCAUGAGUUUGUCUAUUCAAAUUAGUAACUGUUGCUACUCAUAUGAAGCCCAUUUUAAUUUUUAAUUAGGAUAAUUUUCAUGAGUUUGUUUUAACUAUGAGUAAGUUUUAUGAACAUACUUAUUUCUUUUAGCUUUGUUAAACUUAGGCAUAUUACUUAUUGUGCACUUCAUGGAGAAAAGGAAUUAUUAACCUUUUUCUAUAUCAACAUUGUUGAAGGAUUUAGAACCAGUCUCUUUGAAUGCUUUUCAUUUUUGUUUUUAAAUAAUGCAAAUAUCUGAUCUAUUUCUUUUUUGGAUUUUCAAUUCAGCAGUUAACUUUUCAUUAUUAAUCUUUUUUGUGGUUAGAGCACAUUGGAUAGUGCAGUUGCUAGCUUUUUACCAAUAUUCUAUAGCCUUAUGUUCACUUUCAAUUUCAUUUGUAACAGAUGGUUAAGAAAUUUGUCUAAUCAUUUACAUUACCAAUUUUGAAUCCCAGUUCAUGCCUUGGACUUAAUGAAAUGUGUGGCUGCUGUAAAAAGGAAAGGAGUAGUGCCAGAAGAGGAUAUUUACAUUAAGUUUCUUACUUCCUUUUCAUUGAUGAAGAACGAGGUAGUACAUCAAGCUAUCUUCCAUAAAUUAAUUUAUUAUUGCUAUCUAUCUUUUAUAUAUGUUCAUUAUCCUAUAAAUGUAUUUGUUUUUAUUUUCCGAUCUACUGAGUUUGAAGUGUAUGAAUGAUCGCUAGCAUGGAGGAAGUAACAUGAAGGCUAACAUAAAGGUUAACCAAAAACCCUUUUGUACAACAUUUGUAUUCUGGCAAAAGCUCGAAAAACUUUAAAACCAAUUAUGAAGGCUUGAACCAGAAUGUGUUGGUGAUUUNNNNNNNNNNGUUUGUUUUGGUAUAUAUAGUCUGAAAUAAUACUUUGUGCUACUAAAUACAUGCAACACUUUCUUUAAUUUUCUCAUUAUCUAGAGUUCACUUCUUUUAAACAUGUUAUCAAAUUUAUUCUUCUUUGGUUGGUAACUCCUUUUGAUAACACAUCUUUUGUUGAUAUAAAACUCUUCCAAAUUCUAUAAUAUUUGUUGAAGUUGGAUUAGUGUUCCAUUAGUUUAUAUGUGAUGGGUGUACCAUGUACAGAUCUGCCAAUAAAAUUUUGGUGUAUGCAAAUUCUAUAACCCUUUUAAUAACUCAUCAUGAUAUGAAUUGUGUUUUGGAGAUAGAUUUUGGGGUUUGUGGGAAUUGUGUUCUAUUUUCUUAGAUUUACCUCUUUUGAUAACCUACUUGUGUUUUGCAGAUAACUAUACUUUGCAAUUACCAUUUUUAAUGUUGUUGGUUGUAGAAACUAUAAAUUCAAUGCAGCUCUCCAUUCUCAAUUA